This 271-nucleotide ribosomal RNA is filed under the name Klebsiella variicola. RNAcentral describes it as "partial 23S ribosomal RNA". It matches the Rfam family "Bacterial large subunit ribosomal RNA", at positions 1 to 272 of the family's 2925-position model. The record is from RNAcentral. Lineage: Bacteria; Pseudomonadati; Pseudomonadota; Gammaproteobacteria; Enterobacterales; Enterobacteriaceae.
GGUUAAGCGACUAAGCGUACACGGUGGAUGCCCUGGCAGUCAGAGGCGAUGAAGGACGUGCUAAUCUGCGAAAAGCGUCGGUAAGGUGAUAUGAACCGUUAUAACCGGCGAUGUCCGAAUGGGGAAACCCAGUGUGAUCCGUCACACUAUCGUUAACUGAAUACAUAGGUUAACGAGGCGAACCGGGGGAACUGAAACAUCUAAGUACCCCGAGGAAAAGAAAUCAACCGAGAUUCCCCCAGUAGCGGCGAGCGAACGGGGAGCAGCCCAG